CGUCGGAGAAGUGUCCGCCCCG
This 22-nucleotide non-coding RNA is filed under the name Arabidopsis thaliana (thale cress). The record is from RNAcentral. Lineage: Eukaryota; Viridiplantae; Streptophyta; Magnoliopsida; Brassicales; Brassicaceae.